RNAcentral lists this ribosomal RNA (1028 nucleotides) under Providencia stuartii. Its description in RNAcentral is "bacterial LSU rRNA". It matches the Rfam family "Bacterial large subunit ribosomal RNA", at positions 1218 to 2228 of the family's 2925-position model. Lineage: Bacteria; Pseudomonadati; Pseudomonadota; Gammaproteobacteria; Enterobacterales; Morganellaceae. The record is from RNAcentral.
AUGUUGUUGGGUAGGGGAGCGUUCUGUAAGCCUGUGAAGGUGUGCUGCGAGGCAUGCUGGAGGUAUCAGAAGUGCGAAUGCUGACAUAAGUAACGAUAAUGCGGGUGAAAAACCCGCACGCCGGAAGACCAAGGGUUCCUGUCCAACGUUAAUCGGGGCAGGGUGAGUCGACCCCUAAGGCGAGGCAGAAAUGCGUAGUCGAUGGGAAACAGGUUAAUAUUCCUGUACUGGUGAUAAUUGCGAUGGGGGGACGGAGAAGGCUAGGCUGGCCGGGCGACGGUUGUCCCGGUUUAAGGAUGUAGGUGGGCGAAUUAGGCAAAUCCGGUUCGCUAUACACUGAGGUCUGAUGACGAGUCACUACGGUGGCGAAGUAGCUCAUGCCCCGCUUCCAGGAAAAGCCUCUAAGCUCUAGAUUAUCAUUAAUCGUACCCCAAACCGACACAGGUGGUCAGGUAGAGAAUACUCAGGCGCUUGAGAGAACUCGGGUGAAGGAACUAGGCAAAAUGGUGCCGUAACUUCGGGAGAAGGCACGCUGGCAUUAGGUGAAGUCCCUUGCGGAUGGAGCUGAAGCCAGUCGCAGAUACCAGCUGGCUGCAACUGUUUAUUAAAAACACAGCACUGUGCAAACACGAAAGUGGACGUAUACGGUGUGACGCCUGCCCGGUGCUGGAAGGUUAAUUGAUGGGGUUAUCCGUAAGGAGAAGCUCUUGAUCGAAGCCCCAGUAAACGGCGGCCGUAACUAUAACGGUCCUAAGGUAGCGAAAUUCCUUGUCGGGUAAGUUCCGACCUGCACGAAUGGCGUAAUGAUGGCCAGGCUGUCUCCACCCGAGACUCAGUGAAAUUGAACUCGCUGUGAAGAUGCAGUGUACCCGCGGCAAGACGGAAAGACCCCGUGAACCUUUACUAUAGCUUGACACUGAACAUUGAGCCUUGAUGUGUAGGAUAGGUGGGAGGCUUUGAAGUGUGGACGCCAGUCUGCAUGGAGCCAACCUUGAAAUACCACCCUUUAAUGUUUGAUGUUCUAACGU